This 462-nucleotide ribosomal RNA is filed under the name uncultured bacterium. RNAcentral's name for it is "partial 16S ribosomal RNA". It matches the Rfam family "Bacterial small subunit ribosomal RNA", at positions 28 to 507 of the family's 1533-position model. The record is from RNAcentral.
GACGAACGCUGGCGGCGUGCUUAACACAUGCAAGUCGAGCGACGCUCUUCCUUCGGGGAGAUGACGGAGCGGCGAACGGGUGAGUAACACGUGGGCAACCUGCCCCUAGCUCUGGGACAACACCGGGAAACCGGUGCUAAUACCGGAUACGACAUCGAGCGGCAUCUCUCGAUGUGGAAAGUUUUUUCGGCUAGGGAUGGGCCCGCGGCCUAUCAGCUUGUUGGUGGGGUAAUGGCCCACCAAGGCGACGACGGGUAGCCGGCCUGAGAGGGCGACCGGCCACACGGGGACUGAGACACGGCCCAGACUCCUACGGGAGACAGCAGUGGGGAAUAUUGCGCAAUGGGCGAAAGCCUGACGCAGCGACGCCGCGUGAGGGAUGACGGCCUUCGGGUUGUAAACCUCUUUCAGCAGGGACGAAUUCAGACGGUACCUGCAGAAGAAGCACCGGCCAACUACGUG